GGUCAAGUAAGUAAGAGCAUACGGUGGAUGCCUAGGUACGCAGAGGCGAUGAAGGACGUGGUUAACUGCGAUAAGCCUCGGGGAGCGGUAAGCACGCGUUGAUCCGGGGAUGUCCGAAUGGGGAAACCCACUAGGGGUCAUGCCCUAGUAGUCCUGUCCGAAUCCAUAGGGCAGGGCGGCUAACGAGGGGAACUGAAACAUCUUAUUACCCUCAGGAAGAGAAAGCAAUCGCGAUCCCCUCAGUAGCGGCGAGCGAACCGGGAAGAGCCUAAACCGCAUGGCUGGAAGCCUGCCAGCGUUGGCUGUGCGGGGUUGUGGGGCACGAUUGGGGAAGGUGGCAGCCAUCCCGAGGUGAUGUGCAGGGCAUAGGCGAAUGUAUUGGAACAUACGUCCGUAGAGGGUGACAGACCCGUAGCCGAAAUGCGUUGUCAGCCUUGAAUCGUGUACCCGAGUACCGCGGGACUCGUGGAAACCUGUGGGAAGCCGGGAGGCCCACCUCCCAAGGCUAAAUACUCCUGCGUGACCGAUAGUGGACUAGUACCGUGAGGGAAAGGUGAAAAGCACGCCCGUUAGGCGAGUGAAAUAGACCCUGAAACCGUGUGCUUACAAGCGGUGGGAGCUCGGGUGAAGGCUUAGGCCUUCAGCGAGUGACCGCGUGCCUUUUGCAUAAUGAGCCAACGAGUGAUGUUAACGCGCAAGGUUAAGCCGGUAGGCGAAGCCGAAGCGAAAGCGAGUCUGAAGAGGGCGUCAAGUGCGUUGAUGUUGACCCGAAGCCAGGUGAGCUACCCAUGGCCAGGGUAAAGCGACCCUAACAGAUCGUGGAGGCCCGAACCGACUAAGAUUGAAAACUUGGCGGAUGAGCUGUGGGUAGGGGUGAAAGGCCAAGCAAACCUGGAGGUAGCUGGUUCUCCCCGAAAUCUAUUUAGGUAGAGCCUUGCAGUGGCGUGCCGGCGGUAGAGCACUGACUGGAGUAGGGGCCCCACCAGGUUACCGAAUCCAAUCAAACUCCGAAUGCCGGUAACGACAGCUGCAGGAGUCAGACUACGGGAGAUAAGUUCCGUGGUCGAAAGGGAAACAGCCCAGACCGUCCGAUAAGGUCCCAGAAUCGCUGCUCAGUGGGAAAGGUGGUCAUAAUGCCCAGACAGCCAGGAGGUUGGCUUAGAAGCAGCCAUCCUUUAAAGAAAGCGUAAUAGCUCACUGGUCGAGUGGUAUGGCGCCGAAAAUGUCCGGGACUCAAGUAGCGUACCGAAGCGGCGGCUGUCUGUCCGCAGACAGGGUAGGGGAGCAUUCUUAGGGGGUAGAAGCUAUACCGUGAGGCGUGGUGGACCGCUAAGAAGAGAGAAUGUUGGCAUGAGUAACGCUAAAGGGGGUGAGAGUCCCCUUCGCCGAAAACCCAAGGGUUCCUGGGCAAGGUGAUCCUCCCAGGGUGAGUCGGCCCCUAAGCCGAGGCCGAAAGGCGUAGGCGAUGGACAACGGGUUAAUAUUCCUGUACUUCUUUACUCGCGUUUGAGCGAUGGGGGGACGCAGAGGGGUAGUCCGGCCGGCGGUUGGAUGUGCCGGUGCAAGCCAGUAGGCGGGAGUGGCAGGCAAAUCCGCUGCUCUGUUAACGCUGAGAGGUGAUGACGAGGCUUUGAGCCUGUAAGC
Candidatus Entotheonella sp. is the source of this 1644-nucleotide ribosomal RNA. It matches the Rfam family "Bacterial large subunit ribosomal RNA", at positions 1 to 1591 of the family's 2925-position model. The record is from Rfam. Lineage: Bacteria; Pseudomonadati; Candidatus Tectimicrobiota; Candidatus Entotheonellia; Candidatus Entotheonellales; Candidatus Entotheonellaceae.